GUACGUGAAACCGCUUAGUAGUAAACGGAGGGACUCUCGAAGUCGGCGGUGACGGUUCAGGGUGACGGCGGGGCGGCCUGGGGGCGUGGGAUCCGCAAGGACCCUGUCCCUUUGUUGGCUCUGUCGGCGCCUGCACUUCGUUGCCGCCAUACGCGACGAACCGUUUCUGACGGACCGAGGGCGUGGGUGAAGUUUGCGGCCUUCGGGCUUCAAGCCCCGCGUUCCUGGCUCUGUCGGGGACGGGUAGUGGAGCGAUCUCUUAUAGAGAGUGCCCUUGCUGGCACGGUUCGCAUCUCUGUCGCGAGUAGGUCGGCGGUCCCUCCGACCCGUCUUGAAACACGGAC
Molecule: ribosomal RNA, 344 nt
Filed under: Oithona plumifera
Lineage: Eukaryota; Metazoa; Arthropoda; Copepoda; Cyclopoida; Oithonidae
Description: partial 28S ribosomal RNA
Source: RNAcentral